UACGAAGGGAGCUAGCGUUGUUCGGAAUUACUGGGCGUAAAGCGCGCGUAGGUGGCUUUGCAAGUCAGAGGUGAAAUCCCAAGGCUUAACCUUGGAAUUGCCUUUGAAACUGCAAAGCUUGAGUAUCGGAGGGGAUGGUGGAAUUUCUAAUGUAGCGGUGAAAUGCGUAGAUAUUAGAAGGAACACCGGUGGCGAAGGCGACCAUCUGGACGAUAACUGACACUGAGGCGCGAAAGCGUGGGGAUCAAACAGG
This 253-nucleotide ribosomal RNA is filed under the name uncultured bacterium. Its description in RNAcentral is "partial 16S ribosomal RNA". It matches the Rfam family "Bacterial small subunit ribosomal RNA", at positions 524 to 776 of the family's 1533-position model. The record is from RNAcentral.